This 294-nucleotide ribosomal RNA is filed under the name Halobacteriales archaeon QS_9_67_15. Its description in RNAcentral is "partial 16S ribosomal RNA". It matches the Rfam family "Archaeal small subunit ribosomal RNA", at positions 1 to 296 of the family's 1478-position model. Lineage: Archaea; Methanobacteriati; Methanobacteriota; Halobacteria; Halobacteriales. The record is from RNAcentral.
AUUCCGGUUGAUCCUGCCGGAGGCCAUUGCUAUCGGAGUUCGACUUAGCCAUGCUAGUCGCACGGGUUCAGACCCGUGGCAAAUAGCUCAGUAACACGUGGUCAAACUGCCCUACAGAUCGAAAUAACCUCGGGAAACUGAGGCUAAUGCCGAAUAGGACUCUCACGUUGGAGUACAGAGAGUCUCAAACGCUCCCGCGCUGUAGGAUGUGGCUGCGGCCGAUUAGGUAGACGGUGGGGUAACGGCCCACCGUGCCGAUAAUCGGUACAGGUUGUGAGAGCAAGAGCCUGGAGA